RNAcentral lists this ribosomal RNA (494 nucleotides) under uncultured bacterium. Its description in RNAcentral is "partial 16S ribosomal RNA". It matches the Rfam family "Bacterial small subunit ribosomal RNA", at positions 31 to 507 of the family's 1533-position model. The record is from RNAcentral.
GAACGCUGGCGGCGUGCCUAAUACAUGCAAGUCGAGCGAACGGACGAGAAGCUUGCUUCUCUGAUGUUAGCGGCGGACGGGUGAGUAACACGUGGAUAACCUACCUAUAAGACUGGGAUAACUUCGGGAAACCGGAGCUAAUACCGGAUAAUAUUUUGAACCGCAUGGUUCAAAAGUAAAAGACGGUCUUGCUGUCACUUAUAGAUGGAUCCGCGCUGCAUUAGCUAGUUGGUAAGGUAACGGCUUACCAAGGCAACGAUGCAUAGCCGACCUGAGAGGGUGAUCGGCCACACUGGAACUGAGACACGGUCCAGACUCCUACGGGAGGCAGCAGUAGGGAAUCUUCCGCAAUGGGCGAAAGCCUGACGGAGCAACGCCGCGUGAGUGAUGAAGGUCUUCGGAUCGUAAAACUCUGUUAUUAGGGAAGAACAUAUGUGUAAGUAACUGUGCACAUCUUGACGGUACCUAAUCAGAAAGCCACGGCUAACUACGUG